Molecule: ribosomal RNA, 251 nt
Filed under: uncultured prokaryote
Description: partial 16S rRNA
Rfam family: Bacterial small subunit ribosomal RNA
Source: RNAcentral
ACGGAGGGUGCAAGCGUUGUUCGGAAUCACUGGGCGUAAAGCGCAUGUAGGCGGGUCGGUAUGUCGGGUGUGAAAUACUGGGGCUCAACCCCGGGACUGCGCCCGAAACUGCCGGUCUUGAGUUCGGGAGAGGAACGUGGAAUUCCGGGUGUAGAGGUGAAAUUCGUAGAUAUCCGGAGGAACCCCAGAGGCGAAGGCGACGUUCUGUACCGAUACUGACGCUGAGAUGCGAAAGCGUGGGGAGCAAACAG